GGAUGCGAGGGUGAUUGGGCUGCGACAUCUGUCACCCCAUUGAUCCGGCUGGCUAGACGGGUGUCCCUUUCCUUCCUCACUGCUCUGUGUGUGUCCCUCCCAAAGCUGCACCCUUGAUCAAAGAGGAUGACCUUCCCCGAUAAAGGAAGACCAUUCUUGAGUCAAGGAUAUAGGAGUAGCUGCAUUCCCCUGCUAGAAACUUCCAAACAAGCUCUCAAGGUCCAUUAGUAGGAGUAUGUAGUAUAGUCAAGAUUCCGAGACUCCAGACACAUCCAAAUGAGGCACUGGUGGUGGCAGUCUGUUUUUCUUU
Molecule: small nuclear RNA, 310 nt
Filed under: Mustela putorius furo (domestic ferret)
Lineage: Eukaryota; Metazoa; Chordata; Mammalia; Carnivora; Mustelidae
Description: 7SK RNA
Rfam family: 7SK RNA
About the family: 7SK was discovered as an abundant small nuclear RNA in the mid-70s but a possible function has only recently been suggested. Two independent studies have found that 7SK RNA binds the CDK9/cyclin T complex (known as elongation factor P-TEFb).
Source: Rfam by way of RNAcentral